This 743-nucleotide ribosomal RNA is filed under the name uncultured bacterium. RNAcentral describes it as "bacterial SSU rRNA". It matches the Rfam family "Bacterial small subunit ribosomal RNA", at positions 63 to 801 of the family's 1533-position model. The record is from RNAcentral.
CGAACGGCAGCACGGACUUCGGUCUGGUGGCGAGUGGCGAACGGGUGACCCAUAUAUCGGAACAUACCCUAGAGUGGGGGAUAACGUAGCGAAAGUUACGCUAAUACCGCAUACGAUCUAAGGAUGAAAGUGGGGGAUCUUCGGACCUCAUGCUCAUGGAGUGGCCGAUAUCUGAUUAGCUAGUUGGUGAGGUAAAGGCUCACCAAGGCGACGAUCAGUAGCUGGUUUGAGAGAACGACCAGCCACACUGGAACUGAGACACGGUCCAGACUCCUACAGGAGGCAGCAGUGGGGAAUUUUGGACAAUGGGGGCAACCCUGAUCCAGCAAUGCCGCGUGAGUGAAGAAGGCCUUCGGGUUGUAAAGCUCUUUUGUCAGGGAAGAAACGGUGGGGGCGAAUAACUUCUACUAAUGACGGUACCUGAAGAAUAAGCACCGGCUAACUACGUGCCAGCAGCCGCGGUAAUACGUAGGGUGCAAGCGUUAAUCGGAAUUACUGGGCGUAAAGCGUGCGCAGGCGGUUUGAUAAGACAGAGGUGAAAUCCCCGGGCUCAACCUGGGAACUGCCUUUGUGACUGUCAGGCUAGAGUGUGUCAGAGGGGGGUAGAAUUCCACGUGUAGCAGUGAAAUGCGUAGAGAUGUGGAGGAAUACCGAUGGCGAAGGCAGCCCCCUGGGAUAACACUGACGCUCAUGCACGAAAGCGUGGGGAGCAAACAGGAUUAGAUACCCUGGUAGUCCACGCC